RNAcentral lists this long non-coding RNA (463 nucleotides) under Cyanistes caeruleus (blue tit). RNAcentral's name for it is "lncRNA (ENSCCEG00000012813.1)". The record is from RNAcentral. Lineage: Eukaryota; Metazoa; Chordata; Aves; Passeriformes; Paridae.
CCCCCCCUGCCCUCCUCCACCGCCCCUCAGGGGUCCCGCCAGCCCCCAGGUUCCACCGCCCCUCAGGGGUCCCGCCAGCCCCCAGGUUCCACCGCCCCUCAGGGGCCCGCCCCUCAGCGCUCCGCCGCUCGCCGCUGGCAGCGAGGGGCCCGGGGGUCUGCGGGCAGCGCCUCCGAGCCCGAGCCGCGUCCCAGGGGCCCACAGGGAGCCGCCCUGUCCUGCCUUGUGUGUGAGAGCUAAGGUUUUGGACGUGGCGAGUUCGGCCUUGGUGCAAGAUGCUGACCGCGAUACCCAGGUGCUCUGUGGUGUUUCGGGACGUAGAAGAGUCACUUUCCAGCUCUGCUCAGACGGACAAGAUCAAGAGAAUGGCUUCCUCGUUGGAGUUUUCUUCCCUAAAUCUGUGAAUUGUUUUCAGUAUUCUUGUAGCGCAGGCUGCUGUUUUGCUCCAACACAAUAUCGGUAG